UAUAUAUAUAUUUUAUAGAGUCUCCUACAAUUCGGAAAAUCGCCAGGUUAAAGAAUAUUGGCGCUUUUUCAAAGUCAGUAUCAUGUGAGAAAUAUCACCACAACUGAAAUUGAUAAUUAAAUGUCAUUUGAAUUUUAUUUUCCCAAUGAAUGAACACGUGUCUUCGAAAUUUUCUAUUGUCAAUAAAAUGGCUCUUGCAAUAUACAUACAAUGAUACAUUUGCGCUAUCUAUUGGACUUCAAUAUCAAAAUUUCAUUCUACUAGUAGAUUGGUGACACCAACAUGAGAGUGAAAGCUCAACCGUCAGCAUAUAAAAAUAAACUUUCACAAUUAUGAGAGGACCUUGAAUGAUAGAAGAAUAUUAAAAAUUCAAUGAAAACUUAUAUACAUAGUUCGACUAGAUAUGCUCACAAACAAAUGAACAGAAAAGCAGCAAACAAAUCACCAACAAAAUAAAUCAAGUACUUAAUUUCUAAAUAUGUACAUACUACAUUAAUGUAAAUCAUUAAAUAUCAGAAUGAAUUAAAACCUCAUCGUUAUGAACAUGUGAACAUAUUUAAUUACGAAAUUUAAACUCGUGUUUAAAUAACACAAACAAAUCCAACGAGUACUAUAAUCAUCCCUAAUUAUCACAUUGCAAUAAAUUCACUUAAACAUUAGUUAUCAAACGCGGAGGAAGACCCACGACAGCAAAGCACAAGCUCCGCCGUAGACUAGUACCUGUACGGUGCGAUGUAAAAUGAGCAGUCUGAAAAGAUAAAAUAUAGAAUUUACUAUGCGCAGGCAUUUACACAGUAAAAUGCAUACCUGGUCAUCAGCUGUUUGGCCUUCGGUAUGGUCUCGGGUUGUUCCUUUCCCAUAAAGCAGCGCACACCCAUUAAAGAGUUCUGAAAGUAUUCUGGCCAAUUUAUUUCGCAUAUAUUGAAAUUGAAUAUUGUUUGGUCGGCACGAGAGAGCGAAUGCCAUAACUUGGUUGUGUUUUCCAUUGUGAAGGUGAACUUGUGCUCAACAAAAUAGUCCAGUACACCGAUUUGUUUAUGAAGUUUUUGAUAUGUUUUUAUCAUUCUGAAUCGAGACAACAGUCAAUAUUAAUAUAACAAACAUAUUUACACAAACUUCAAGCGAUCUGUGGAAUAUAUUCGCUUACCUUCGCUUCUUUCCUAUCAGCAGUAGUAGGAAGUCAAAGAUGUAGCCCGGUAUUAUGUGGUAGAAUAAUAUCAGAAUAUGAUAUAAUAAUUUGGAGUUGACUAUUAUCACAAAGGGAUACCAAAUCAUUUUA
Molecule: long non-coding RNA, 1279 nt
Organism: Bactrocera oleae (olive fruit fly)
Lineage: Eukaryota; Metazoa; Arthropoda; Insecta; Diptera; Tephritidae
Source: RefSeq, a predicted model, not a curated record